GUGCUCACUUCGGCAGCACAUAUACUAAAAUUGGAAUGAUAGAGAAGAUUAGCAUGGCCCCUGUGCAAGGAUGACACACAAAUUCAUGAAGCGUUCCACAUUUUU
This 105-nucleotide small nuclear RNA is filed under the name Sorex araneus (European shrew). The record is from RNAcentral. Lineage: Eukaryota; Metazoa; Chordata; Mammalia; Eulipotyphla; Soricidae.